RNAcentral lists this ribosomal RNA (911 nucleotides) under uncultured Campylobacterota bacterium. RNAcentral's name for it is "bacterial SSU rRNA". It matches the Rfam family "Bacterial small subunit ribosomal RNA", at positions 586 to 1501 of the family's 1533-position model. The record is from RNAcentral. Lineage: Bacteria; Pseudomonadati; Campylobacterota.
AGUUGGAUGUGAAAUUCCUAUGGCUCANCCAUAGAACUGCAUCCAAAACUACUUAGCUAGAGUCUGGGAGGGGAAGAUGGAAUUAGUGGUGUAGGGGUAAAAUCCGUAGAGAUCACUAGGAAUACCAAAAGCGAAGGCGAUCUUCUGGAACAGUACUGACGCUGAGGCGCGAAAGCGUGGGGAGCAAACAGGAUUAGAUACCCUGGUAGUCCACGCCCUAAACGAUGAAUGUUAGUCGUCGGAGAGCUCGUCUCUUCGGUGAUGCAGCUAACGCAUUAAACAUUCCGCCUGGGGAGUACGGUCGCAAGAUUAAAACUCAAAGGAAUAGACGGGGACCCGCACAAGUGGUGGAGCAUGUGGUUUAAUUCGAAGAUACGCGAAGAACCUUACCUGGCCUUGACAUUGAUAGAAUCUGCUAGAGAUAGCGGAGUGCCCUUCGGGGAGCUUGAAAACAGGUGCUGCACGGCUGUCGUCAGCUCGUGUCGUGAGAUGUUGGGUUAAGUCCCGCAACGAGCGCAACCCUCGUCACUAGUUACUAACGGUUCGGCCGAGGACUCUAGUGAGACUGCCUUCGUAAGGAGGAGGAAGGUGAGGACGACGUCAAGUCAUCAUGGCCCUUACGGCCAGGGCGACACACGUGCUACAAUGGGAUGUACAAUGAGACGCAAUACCGCGAGGUGGAGCAAAUCUAUAAAACAUCUCUCAGUUCGGAUUGUAGUCUGCAACUCGACUACAUGAAGCUGGAAUCACUAGUAAUCGUAGAUCAGCCAUGCUACAAUGAAUACGUUCCCGGGUCUUGUACUCACCGCCCGUCACACCAUGGGAGUUGAUUUCACCCGAACCGGGAAANNUAAACUGGCUACCCUCCACGGUGGAAUCANCCACAGAGGUGAAGUCGUAACAAGGUAACC